UUCGCCUCCCUUCCUGCAAGGGUAGGGGUGCAGCAGCAGCAGGCGGGGUCUAGGCACCGCGGCGUCUCCGUGGUGCUCUGAGCAGCGUCUGAAGUUUCUCGUGCCCGCCGUGGGUCCCCCUGGUCCCUGCUCUAGCUGCGGGGCUGAUGCCGCCCGAGGACACCUUAAAGGAGCCGCCCCUAGACAAGCCCCGCACGCCCAAGGCGGAGAGGCGCGCGCCGCGUGGCACGGGACCAGGCCGCCCAGGUCUCCCCGCAGCUUGAGAGGUGAAGCCCCAGCGUGUAACGCCACCGAAAGGAGGGAAAUUGGUGCUCAUUCACAGAACAAUGCAACAAAUUGUUAAAUGGAGGAUUGCAACAAUCAGCUUCAAAUCUAUCGCAUAAAUGAAGGGAAGUACAUGUGAAAUCUGUGAACAACCUACAUCCUUCAAAAGAGGCUAGCACAAAAAUUGGUUUAAAAAACCCCUUUAAACCCUCUGAAGCUCAAAGGCCUCUUUGGAUGACUUUGUGUUUAAGGAAUCAUAAACAAACCGAAAGCUGCCUACACCUGUUUUCCAAAGAGUUCACAACAAUAUAUUUAUGCAAAGGAAAUUCCUGCAAAUUAUUAUUAUUUUUCGUACACUAAAGGUUUUUUUUCAUAUUUGAAACUGUAAGGAGAUUUCUCGUUUUUGAGCUGCUUUUUAUUAAGAC
Molecule: long non-coding RNA, 689 nt
Organism: Malaclemys terrapin pileata
Lineage: Eukaryota; Metazoa; Chordata; Testudines; Emydidae
Exons: 3
Source: RefSeq, a predicted model, not a curated record